Molecule: long non-coding RNA, 297 nt
Filed under: Homo sapiens (human)
Lineage: Eukaryota; Metazoa; Chordata; Mammalia; Primates; Hominidae
Description: non-protein coding lnc-AMY1B-6:1
Source: RNAcentral
UUCCUGGUGCUGCAGGAAAAGAAGGUGCAAAGGGUGAUCCAGGUCCUCAAGGUAUCUCAGGGAAAGAUGGACCAGCAGGAUUACGUGGUUUCCCAGGGGAAAGAGGUCUUCCUGGAGCUCAGGGUGCACCUGGACUGAAAGGAGGGGAAGGUCCCCAGGGCCCACCAGGUCCAGUUGUAAGUAUGAUGAUAAUAAAUAGCCAGACAAUCAUGGUUGUGAAUUACAGCUCUUCUUUCAUUACUCUCAUGCUGUGAUUCCACAGUGUGUGGGAGAGAAAAUAAACACAUGUCAAUCAAA